GGAAUCAGUCCCAGGCAGGACAGAGCAUGGACAUGAGGGUCCCAACUCAGCUCCUCAGCCUCCUGCUGCUGUGGCUCCCAGGAGCCAGAUGUGAUAUCCAGAUGACCCAGUCUCCAUCCUCUCUGUCUGCAUCAGUGGGAGACAGAGUCACCAUCAAUUGCCGGGCCAGUCAGAGCAUUAGCAGUUACUUAAACUGGUAUCAGCAGAAACCAGGGACAGCUCCUAAGCUCCUGAUCUAUAGGGCAUCCAGUUUGCACACCGGAGUCCCUUCGAGGUUCAGUGGCCAGGGAUCUGGGACAGAUUUCACUCUCACCAUCAGCAGCCUGCAGUAUGAAGAUGUGGCAACUUAUUACUGUCAACAGUAUCAGAGUUGGCCUCUCACAAUGUUAUAAGCCUGAACAUAAACCACGAAGCAGACAACUGAGAGUCGGCCACCCCAGCUGCUCCACUUGGGCCUCCAUAGACUGAGAGAGCAUUCCUGAGAUGCACCCAUUCUUUGAUCGUGACUGGAUGUUUUGGUAAAAGUGACCAGGAGGGCUCUCCUGCCCCUUAACUCUCUUUGUCUCUCCUCAGCCUCAAUGGCACAUACAACGCGUCUCCUGAGUUCAUAAAGAACAGAGAUCAUCACACAUGAACUGUCUGUGCUACAGUAUCAGUCAGAAUUCAUGAAGUGAAAAAGAUGCCACUGUAGGUAUUCCAAGCAGGAAUUGCAUAAUAUAGGGAGUUAAUUUCUAAAGUACAUUGUUUCAAAGGCCUAGGGGAUUAAUAACAGGGGAAGCAGAUACCGUGGGAUUUCCUGGUACUUUCCCAGAAACAAGAGAACAUACGCCACUGGAGAGAGAGACUGUCUAACCAUGUGGUCCCCAGACCUGUGGGGGAAGCCCAGAAGUGGGGGUGCUGAUGCUCUCAGCUCACCAGUGAUUCCCCAGUCCCCCACUCUGCCUGCAGGAACUGAUGGAUAGUACUGAAUCCUCCUCUUCCAACUCCAACUCUCAGGGAGGGCCCCUCACUGAGCAAUUCUAUAGGAAACCAUAGAGGGCAAAGGGGUUCUGAGAAAUGUGCUUCCACAAGUGAGAGUGAUGAUGGGGAACUGACAGCAGGCAGCCUGGAUGGUCAUUCUUUUUACCUCUCUCAGAAAUUUGCCAAAUACAAUACACUUGGAUGUGCUUCCAACCAUUAUCAUCAAGUCUAGAUUCAUAACAGGAAAUGUUUGUUAAAUGUUUGAGAAAUUAGGAAAAUUAGGUAAAUGUUUUACAUGCAUAGAAAUAAUUUC
Non-coding RNA from Hipposideros armiger (great roundleaf bat), 1273 nucleotides. The record is from the annotation of a RefSeq genome assembly. NCBI's taxonomy places the organism in Eukaryota, Metazoa, Chordata, Mammalia, Chiroptera, Hipposideridae.